GUGUCAGCCGCCGCGGUAAUACGAAGGGGGCUAGCGUUGCUCGGAAUCACUGGGCGUAAAGGGCGCGUAGGCGGCUUAUCAAGUCGGGGGUGAAAGCCCGUGGCUCAACCACGGAAUGGCCUUCGAUACUGGUAGGCUUGAGACCGGAAGAGGACAGCGGAACUGCGAGUGUAGAGGUGAAAUUCGUAGAUAUUCGCAAGAACACCAGUGGCGAAGGCGGCUGUCUGGUCCGGUUCUGACGCUGAGGCGCGAAAGCGUGGGGAGCAAACAGGAUUAGAUACCCUGGUAGUCC
This 292-nucleotide ribosomal RNA is filed under the name uncultured bacterium. RNAcentral's name for it is "partial 16S ribosomal RNA". It matches the Rfam family "Bacterial small subunit ribosomal RNA", at positions 505 to 796 of the family's 1533-position model. The record is from RNAcentral.